RNAcentral lists this ribosomal RNA (280 nucleotides) under Fusicatenibacter saccharivorans. Its description in RNAcentral is "partial 16S ribosomal RNA". It matches the Rfam family "Bacterial small subunit ribosomal RNA", at positions 493 to 776 of the family's 1533-position model. The record is from RNAcentral. Lineage: Bacteria; Bacillati; Bacillota; Clostridia; Lachnospirales; Lachnospiraceae.
UAUGGUAAUUGUGCAGCGCCGCGGUAAUACGUAGGGGGCAAGCGUUAUCCGGAUUUACUGGGUGUAAAGGGAGCGUAGACGGCAAGGCAAGUCUGAUGUGAAAACCCAGGGCUUAACCCUGGGACUGCAUUGGAAACUGUCUGGCUCGAGUGCCGGAGAGGUAAGCGGAAUUCCUAGUGUAGCGGUGAAAUGCGUAGAUAUUAGGAAGAACACCAGUGGCGAAGGCGGCUUACUGGACGGUAACUGACGUUGAGGCUCGAAAGCGUGGGGAGCAAACAGG